AUUCCACUGGCAGAAUGAGCUCAAUGGUAAGACUGAAUGAGUUGAUUUUCCUUCAGUAUGUGACGGCAACACUUAAGCACAGAGACUUAUUUCUUACCAAGAAGCCACACCAAGAUUAUAUCUUCUGUUGUAUCACCAUGUAACCAUCUCUGGAGAAACUAACAGCACUCCUCCAUUGAGUCUGCCCAAGGACAAUGUACCAAGGAAAUCCCAAAUGCAGCCAGAACUGUAAGAAUUAAUUUGCAGAACUGAGGCACAGUGCUCACCUCCCCAUGAGCCUUCAC
Molecule: long non-coding RNA, 284 nt
Filed under: Capra hircus (goat)
Lineage: Eukaryota; Metazoa; Chordata; Mammalia; Artiodactyla; Bovidae
Description: lncRNA (ENSCHIG00000007593.1)
Source: RNAcentral